RNAcentral lists this ribosomal RNA (279 nucleotides) under uncultured Staphylococcus sp. RNAcentral describes it as "partial 16S ribosomal RNA". It matches the Rfam family "Bacterial small subunit ribosomal RNA", at positions 83 to 354 of the family's 1533-position model. The record is from RNAcentral. Lineage: Bacteria; Bacillati; Bacillota; Bacilli; Caryophanales; Staphylococcaceae.
CCUUUGACGUUAGCGGCGGACGGGUGAGUAACACGUGGGUAACCUACCUAUAAGACUGGGAUAACUUCGGGAAACCGGAGCUAAUACCGGAUAAUAUUUCGAACCGCAUGGUUCGAUAGUGAAAGAUGGUUUUGCUAUCACUUAUAGAUGGACCUGCGCCGUAUUAGCUAGUUGGUAAGGUAACGGCUUACCAAGGCGACGAUACGUAGCCGACCUGAGAGGGUGAUCGGCCACACUGGAACUGAGACACGGUCCAGACUCCUACGGGAGGCAGCAGGU